This 187-nucleotide non-coding RNA is filed under the name Salipaludibacillus keqinensis. RNAcentral's name for it is "6S / SsrS RNA". It matches the Rfam family "6S / SsrS RNA". Rfam says of the family: E. coli 6S RNA was the first non coding RNA to be sequenced, but its function was unknown until recently. It consists of 184 nucleotides that fold into an extended hairpin structure with a large single-stranded internal bulge. The 6S RNA specifically associates with RNA polymerase holoenzyme containing the sigma70 specificity factor. The record is from Rfam by way of RNAcentral. Lineage: Bacteria; Bacillati; Bacillota; Bacilli; Caryophanales; Bacillaceae.
AGGGUCCUAUGAUGCACGUCAUAACUUAACGUUUUGAGCCAACACUUCAACAUUGGGAGCUACCUGUUUCAAUCUGAUUAACAUGCCCUAGUAAGAUAAUUAGGGAAGUUAGGAUGGUUGGACUGAGCACCCACCUGCCAUGGCAGGUUCAAAGCAAAGGUACAUCAACGGCAUACACGGGACUCUU